Molecule: long non-coding RNA, 540 nt
Filed under: Homo sapiens (human)
Lineage: Eukaryota; Metazoa; Chordata; Mammalia; Primates; Hominidae
Description: HSALNT0019934
Source: RNAcentral
AAUAAAGAGACCAGUGGGGCUGGAACAAAGGUGGCCAAGACCACUAGCUGCGCUCAGAGAGGUACAGGCACGCCAGGAACAGCCUCCCUAAGACAAUGCGACUGGAUACAGUACCCAAGCGUAAUGAAAGAUGUCAAUUCUUUGAAAUCCGUAGAAGUUUACCCAGCCGUGGGUGGUUUGGCACCAGGUUUCUCAUUCACUCCACAUCCACCAAGUCACUUCAUCGACCCAACCAUGGCAAGUGGCAGGGGCAGAGGGAUAUGCUAGUCUGGAGCCAGAAACUACAUCCUCCCCAGUCAGUGCUCCCCACAACACCAAGCUCCAGGAACCUAAGGCGCAGGCCUGCACCCGGCCUAGUCCAAUGCAGGUUGCUCUGGAGGAUCUUGCUCCACCCAAAGUCACUCAGGAACUGGAGACGCUUUCAUCAAUUGGUUCCACUAUACUCUGGAUUGCAGAGUCCUACAAAAGAUGCUUUGCAUUCAGCUGGUAGCUGAAGGAGGAGAGAAAGAAUGGAUGCUUGUACAGGAAGUAACGUUAUUC